This 929-nucleotide ribosomal RNA is filed under the name Limosilactobacillus reuteri. RNAcentral describes it as "bacterial SSU rRNA". It matches the Rfam family "Bacterial small subunit ribosomal RNA", at positions 1 to 884 of the family's 1533-position model. The record is from RNAcentral. Lineage: Bacteria; Bacillati; Bacillota; Bacilli; Lactobacillales; Lactobacillaceae.
UUUAUAUGAGAGUUUGAUCCUGGCUCAGGAUGAACGCCGGCGGUGUGCCUAAUACAUGCAAGUCGUACGCACUGGCCCAACUGAUUGAUGGUGCUUGCACCUGAUUGACGAUGGAUCACCAGUGAGUGGCGGACGGGUGAGUAACACGUAGGUAACCUGCCCCGGAGCGGGGGAUAACAUUUGGAAACAGAUGCUAAUACCGCAUAACAACAAAAGCCACAUGGCUUUUGUUUGAAAGAUGGCUUUGGCUAUCACUCUGGGAUGGACCUGCGGUGCAUUAGCUAGUUGGUAAGGUAACGGCUUACCAAGGCGAUGAUGCAUAGCCGAGUUGAGAGACUGAUCGGCCACAAUGGAACUGAGACACGGUCCAUACUCCUACGGGAGGCAGCAGUAGGGAAUCUUCCACAAUGGGCGCAAGCCUGAUGGAGCAACACCGCGUGAGUGAAGAAGGGUUUCGGCUCGUAAAGCUCUGUUGUUGGAGAAGAACGUGCGUGAGAGUAACUGUUCACGCAGUGACGGUAUCCAACCAGAAAGUCACGGCUAACUACGUGCCAGCAGCCGCGGUAAUACGUAGGUGGCAAGCGUUAUCCGGAUUUAUUGGGCGUAAAGCGAGCGCAGGCGGUUGCUUAGGUCUGAUGUGAAAGCCUUCGGCUUAACCGAAGAAGUGCAUCGGAAACCGGGCGACUUGAGUGCAGAAGAGGACAGUGGAACUCCAUGUGUAGCGGUGGAAUGCGUAGAUAUAUGGAAGAACACCAGUGGCGAAGGCGGCUGUCUGGUCUGCAACUGACGCUGAGGCUCGAAAGCAUGGGUAGCGAACAGGAUUAGAUACCCUGGUAGUCCAUGCCGUAAACGAUGAGUGCUAGGUGUUGGAGGGUUUCCGCCCUUCAGUGCCGGAGCUAACGCAUUAAGCACUCCGCCUGGGGAGUACG